CAGACUAUUUUGGGAGCUGGAAGAUGUUAGCACACGAUUCAUUAUGACAGUUGUUUGACAUUUUUUGUGGCUAAACACAGCUGAUAGUAGACUUCUGAAUUUUAUCCAAUAAGGACCCAUCAAUCAGCUUGUGGCAAUGUCAACCACACCCCUUAAAGUUAGACUUGUCCCCACCCACUCGUUUUACUGCAAUAAACUUUGAGCCAUUCAGAUGAAAACUGGACAGCAUUCCGGCACUCCCUGAUCACAGCCAACCUGCAACUCACAUCCCUAACCCACCGAACUUCAAUAGAGCACCUCUCACAAUAUAACUUGCUUUGCAAAAGUGAGGAAUGAAGAAAGAAAGCGGAUAAAGAGAAAAUGACCAUAAGCUGGAAUGAUGACGUGGAUGCUUCAGACGACUAAAAUAAGGAGACACCAAUCGUUGCUACGACAGGACAUAUAACAUAAUUCCUCACUUUCCAUCAAGGUUGUGGAUGCACUGGUGCAAAUCAAUAGACAAAAUGGAUUACCUGACAAAUAAUAGAGGUUUCAGCCUGCUUUUGAAUUUCCUUCUCAUUGUCAUUGUAUUGUUAUUAAUGUUUAUUAUCGUUAAACUCAUGUGAUUUUUAUUUUCUGCGUAAUUCAUAUUUUCCUGUAAUUCUCUGAGAAAAUUCACUGCGGCAACUGCAGCUUUCAGAAUGGGAAGAUGGACUCAAUCACAAUGAACCAUUUAUCUGUCAUCUAUUGAGAUCCACGUCAGAGAAAGGUGCACACUUUCUACAAAGGCCUUUGCAAUGAUUACUAUUUUUAAAAUGUACAAACAUAGCCUGUGAUAUAAGCACCCAUUAAGAAAUACUAAAGCUAUUAGAAAUGCAUGAUCUGCUCCAAGGAACAUCCCCAAUAAAUUCACAAGGCAACCACGUGAAAUAAUUUUCUUUCAUAAUCCAUUGAAUAUGUAUCAAAUCAGAAUUUAGGGAUGUUAUCUGACUGGUAAUCAAUAAGAGUUCAUUGUGUUUACCAUUGGUCCAUCAUUCAAAUGUGCAUUUUUGCUCAGGUGUACCAUUGAAUUAUUUCAAAAUGGUGAGAAUCUUUGGAAACAUGAUUUGAUAUUGAACUCCAUAAGGAUAUCUGAGCUCAUUAUAUCUGGAAUCCAAUACUCAAGCAAUCAAGGUAGAGGAAAACGGGCACUGUGUUAAUGAUGUUCUAAAAUCAAUCAAAAGUCCUCUCCUGAUUUCUGCCCACAAUAUUUGAUUUCAGCUUCUCUACACAAUGUUUCUUAAUCAACAGGCCUCAAGGAUUUAAUCCCUGUUCCAAUGGUACAGAGGUAAUGAUGGAUGUACAAUAAAUACCACAAAACACAUUCAGUAUUCUCCCUCUCAGGCUCCUUCAGAGAAACAAGGGUCAGGCAGUAAAUGGUGGUUUUAUUCCAGAGUAGAUUUUGUACUAUUUAUUGCACCAUCUAGUGCCCAAAGCUCAGAUUCAAUAUAGUGUUAACCGAAACAUAAACUGAAUUGCAUUUAACAACACUUAAUGGUCGCAUGUAAUCAGAUGAAUGUAGAAUAAUGGUAUCAAUUUUACAUCCAUGUUGUGCACAUCAAUAUUCCGAUAUUCUGGAGCCAGUGCUCCCCAAGGAACUAAAUACAAGGCGGUUUUGGACAAAGAGUCAUGUUUGGUCAUGAGCAUUAAAGGUGUGGCAUGAUAUCGGGUGACAUUAAAUGGUUGGCAGACAAACACCACAAGGCCCAUUCAGGAUCAGUGACCAAAGAUGAACUUCAGACAUACACCCAGCUGAAAACUGAAAAUUAACCGAAUGUCCAAACUCUGUUCACUUUAACAAAGGGCACGAACAUAUCACACUCGGAAGAAUUCAAGCUUUGUGUUAGCUUCACAACCUUUAAGGCACUUCCAGUUAAGAGAAACUGAAUAAUUCUCACAGCAUGGAAAUCACAUUAUAAUCCUAUGAGGAAACCUUUUAGCUCAAAGGUGAAUUGGUGUUUGAAAGAAAAAUUCUUUACAGAAAUGUAACUCCUGUUCAAUGCAAUAAGGCCUGUGUAUUUGAGUAAUGUAGUCAAUGUUGCCUUAGGAAGCCUCUUUAGAAAUGAAACCUCAAGAAUGAAACCUUCUGCAAGAAUUUCUACAAACACAGAAUGUAUAAGAUGCUGGGAGAUUCUGACACUGAAAUCACUCCAUUGCGGGUGAAAUGCUGAAGCACCAGGGUUAAUUAAAUUUGUGUGAACUCUUCGGCAAGUUGCGUUUUUGAGUUUCAUUCCUUGUCAUCAAAACUCCUUUGAGAUCAGAGAAAGUUUCAACCAGACACGGAAAAAACUCAAGACAUGCCUUUGCUGGAAGCAGCACCUAUCUUUGCCACUGGUAUCUCUUUGGUCAACAACAUUUUCCCCAUAAAACCGGUCAAGGUUGGUUUCCAUGGUGCUACACUCAAAAGAUUUGUGGAUACAUUGGUCAAUUUGUAACAACAACUUAUGUCUAAAAUGACACAAAGUGCUGGAGUAUCACAGCGGGUCAGGCAGCAUAUCUGGAGAACGUGGAUAGGUGAUAUUUUCAGUUUGGGAUCCUUCUUUGGUCUGAAGAAGGGUCCUAACUUGAAACGUCACCUAUCGAUGUUCUCCAGAGAUGCUGCCUGACUGGCCGUGAAUCUCCAGCACUUUGUGUCCUUUUCGUGUAAACCAGCAUCUGCAGUUCCUUGUUUCAAUAUUUAUGUACAUUGUGAGUCAUUGCACAAUACAAAAGUGUGGCUAAUCUUUGUUAAUGAGCUUGAAAUAAAAAAAGUAUUAAAACAGUUAUCACCCAUA
Long non-coding RNA from Amblyraja radiata (thorny skate), 2792 nucleotides. RefSeq lists it as uncharacterized. NCBI's taxonomy places the organism in Eukaryota, Metazoa, Chordata, Chondrichthyes, Rajiformes, Rajidae. The record is from RefSeq and is a predicted model, not a curated record. The transcript has 3 exons.